UACGGAGGAUGCGAGCGUUAUCCGGAUUUAUUGGGUUUAAAGGGUGCGUAGGCGGGCUUUUAAGUUAGCGGUAAAAAUUCGGGGCUCAACCCCGUCCGGCCGUUGAAACUGGGGGCCUUGAGUGGGCGAGAAGAAGGCGGAAUGCGUGGUGUAGCGGUGAAAUGCAUAGAUAUCACGCAGAACCCCGAUUGCGAAGGCAGCCUUCCGGCGCCCUACUGACGCUGAGGCACGAAAGUGCGGGGAUCGAACAGG
Molecule: ribosomal RNA, 252 nt
Filed under: uncultured bacterium
Lineage: Bacteria
Description: partial 16S ribosomal RNA
Rfam family: Bacterial small subunit ribosomal RNA
Source: RNAcentral